GACGAACGCUGGCGGCGUGCCUAACACAUGCAAGUCGAGCGGAGUUUGUUAGCAAUAGCAGACUUAGCGGCGGACGGGUGAGUAACACGUGGGCAACCUACCUCAUACUGGGGGAUAACACUGGGAAACUAGUGCUAAUACCGCAUAACAUCAUGAUAUGGCAUCAUAUUAUGAUCAAAGGAGCAAUCUGGUAUAAGAUGGGGCCCGCGUCCGAUUAGCUAGUUGGUGAGGUAAUGGCUCACCAAGGCUGCGAUCGGUAGCCGGACUGAGAGGUUGAUCGGCCACAUUGGGACUGAGACACGGCCCAGACACCUACGGGUGGCAG
Molecule: ribosomal RNA, 325 nt
Filed under: uncultured Bacillota bacterium
Lineage: Bacteria; Bacillati; Bacillota
Description: bacterial SSU rRNA
Rfam family: Bacterial small subunit ribosomal RNA
Source: RNAcentral